Long non-coding RNA from Rhincodon typus (whale shark), 424 nucleotides. RefSeq lists it as uncharacterized. The transcript is spliced from 3 exons. The record is from RefSeq and is a predicted model, not a curated record. Lineage: Eukaryota; Metazoa; Chordata; Chondrichthyes; Orectolobiformes; Rhincodontidae.
AUGAUUUAGCUAGAAGGAAAGGUCUCUCUAAAAUGCUGCCCUAGAAUUUUUGAAAGCAAGCACAAAAUAAAAAUACAGAUCAUCUUUUGGUGUAUACAGCCAACAUGCCCAGUUCCAGAUUUAAAGAUAUUGUGAUAUUGCAUGCGGAUUGGGAUGCUUGGUUUUACUGGAUUGAUACAUGAAGUGAUCAGUGCAAAAGAAAUUCAGACCGUCUACUUCUAAAGAAGAACCACCUGCAAUGCCUUGAUUAAGGAUGCUUUCAUGGAAUGUACCGAGCGAUUUUAAAAAAAAAUUAGGACAAUUUUGUACACUGCUGUUAUUCAUCUGAAUCUGGGAGAAUUGAAUGAUACACGUUCAAUAUAAUUGAACUAAUUAAAUUAUUAUGCAUUAAAUUAUACAGCAAUUAAAAUAUGAAUGAAACUUC